Molecule: long non-coding RNA, 557 nt
Organism: Grus americana (Whooping crane)
Lineage: Eukaryota; Metazoa; Chordata; Aves; Gruiformes; Gruidae
Exons: 4
Source: RefSeq, a predicted model, not a curated record
CGCGGCAGCAGCAUGGCGGCGCGCUGGGAGCCGGUGGCGGGUGAGGGCCGGGCUCAGCGGUGAGGCCGCGCUGAGGACGUGGUUGCCCGUCCCUCCCUUGGGGAUGCCGUCGACUGCAGCCGCCUCGCCUGUGCCUGGCCUGGCUCGCCUCGUGGCGUGGGGGCGAAAAGGGACAGGCGGCGGAGCGCUUACCGGCCGUGGACAGGAGCUGCCCUAAGGGAAGCUGGACUGGCCAGAGAAAGGUGAAGAAGAAGAAGAAGAGAUGGAAGGCUCUCCGGCCGGCAGCUGCCUCCCGCUGCAGGCAAGAGAGCGCCUGCCUCGCCGGGCGGAGGACAGCCGAGCGACCGGAGUGACAGCAAAGGAAAGGCGGAGAGCGGGAGAAAGAAGCGUCUGCGCUGGCAAGCUCUCCCGGCAGCGCCGAGAGCCAGAGCUGCGGUGCUGCUGCGCCGAUGCUCCGUACGUUCGCAGUAACGGGUAGAGCGGAAGGCUCCGUGGCCAGGGAAGAGCGGCACGGACGCGUUCCUGCUCGCUCCGUUGCACCGGAAUUUCGACGGCUG